Molecule: ribosomal RNA, 504 nt
Filed under: uncultured bacterium
Lineage: Bacteria
Description: partial 16S ribosomal RNA
Rfam family: Bacterial small subunit ribosomal RNA
Source: RNAcentral
ACUCAAAGGAAUAGACGGGGGCCCGCACAAGCGGCGGAGCAUGUUGCUUAAUUCGACGCAACGCGAAGAACCUUACCAAGGUUUGACAUCACCCGGAAAGCUUCAGAGAUGGAGCCCUCUUCGGACUGGGUGACAGGUGGUGCAUGGCUGUCGUCAGCUCGUGUCGUGAGAUGUUGGGUUAAGUCCCGCAACGAGCGCAACCCUUGUUCCAUGUUGCCAGCGGCGCCUUCGGGCGGCCGGGGACUCAUGGGAGACUGCCGGGGUCAACUCGGAGGAAGGUGGGGAUGACGUCAAGUCAUCAUGCCCCUUAUGUCUUGGGCUGCAAACAUGCUACAAUGGCCGGUACAGAGGGCUGCUAAGCCGUGAGGCGGAGCGAAUCCCUAAAAGCCGGUCUCAGUUCGGAUUGGGGUCUGCAACUCGACCCCAUGAAGUCGGAGUCGCUAGUAAUCGCAGAUCAGCAACGCUGCGGUGAAUACGUUCCCGGGCCUUGUACACACCGCCCGU